Molecule: long non-coding RNA, 1066 nt
Filed under: Jatropha curcas
Lineage: Eukaryota; Viridiplantae; Streptophyta; Magnoliopsida; Malpighiales; Euphorbiaceae
Description: long non-coding RNA (JCUR_LNC001324)
Source: RNAcentral
AAUUUUCUUUCUUCGUUGUAUGUUAAAAGUGCUGCCUCCCUCUCCUUCCCGUUUUCAGACCAAACGGCCAUAGUUUCCGGCGAGCUAGCAGUCUAAACACAUCUACUCGACGAAAGGAACUUCAUCCUAGCCUUGCUUCGCGCGAUUUAAACUGUAGUCAUGUAAAAUCGGGUCUGAAAUUUUUAUUAACGAUGCAGCGUUGCUUUCCAGUGAAUUCAUGCCUUCUCCGACGAGUUUAGGCUUCGGGAUGGGUACUAGUUGAUCUCUCCCUCCUGCGCGAACAUUUUCCCUCUAUCAAUCAAGGUUUUCGGUGGAGAACGAUGAACCACCGUGAUCGGUGGCUCCUUUGGUGGCUGUCGAGGCUCAUUCCGGCCAAAUGGGCCACUGACUCGACAAAUGGACACUAAAUUCGAGUCCCCAAUGAAAUUUCGAGCAGAGUGGUGUAGGCCUCGUGAAGUUCCAGCGAUGCACGAUUUUUCGAAUAUCCGGCAAGGACUUAGAGGCAGAAUCAUCUACUCUUCAAGCUGAUCUCAAAUCUGCAAUCCAAUUUUGUGAGUUCUAAGCGUCAACACUACUUUUGUAAAAAUUCGAUUAAAGGUUAUUAAUUUAAAUUAGAUCAAAUUAGUUUAGUUAAGUGGAUUAAUAUUGAAUGAGCUUAAGUAAAUGCUAAUUUAGUUAAUUGAGUUAAUGGUUGACAUAAAACGUUGUGAAAUUAGAGUAGAAUUUGAUAUCCAUAAGUUACCAUUAUGAAUGGCACAUAUAUUACUUCUAAGGUUUGAAUGUUAUUAUUUAAUGAAUAUUAAGUUGUGAUUGAUAUAAGAUAUGCAAGGUUUGAUAGUAAUUCUAGUUAAUGAUUGAAAACAGACUUGUGAAUGACCGAGUUGCUAUUUAAAUUGUGUAAUUGAAUUGAGCAGUUAAUUAUAUAAUCAAAAUUGAUGAUGUGAAAUGAUUGGUUCUAGAUUGUGUUGAUAAUGGAAGGAGGAAGAGCUUAAUUGAUUGAUUUGCCCGACGGAUGGGCAGUGAUUAUAUGCUGACUUUCCUUGAAUUGGAAACGAGUAGAUUAUUC